AUUGAACGCUGGCGGCAUGCCUUACACAUGCAAGUCGAACGGUAGAGGGGGCAACCCCUUGAGAGUGGCGAACGGGUGAGUAAUGCAUCGGAACGUGCCCAGUCGUGGGGGAUAGCCCGGGGAAACCCGGAUUAAUACCGCAUACGACCUGAGGGUGAAAGCGGGGGACCGGUAACGGCCUCGCGCGAUUGGAGCGGCCGAUGUCGGAUUAGCUAGUUUGUGGGGUAAAGGCCUACCAAGGCGACGAUCCGUAGCUGGUCUGAGAGGACGACCAGCCACACGGGGACUGACACACGGCCCAGACUCCUACGGGAGGCAGCAGUGGGGAAUUUUGGACAAUGGGGGCAACCCUGAUCCAGCCAUGCCGCGUGCGGGAAGAAGGCCUUCGGGUUGUAAACCGCUUUUGUCAGGGAAGAAAUCCUUUGGGCUAAUACCCUGGGGGGAUGACGGUACCUGAAGAAUAAGCACCGGCUAACUACGUGCCAGCCGCCGCAGUAA
Molecule: ribosomal RNA, 498 nt
Filed under: uncultured bacterium
Lineage: Bacteria
Description: partial 16S ribosomal RNA
Rfam family: Bacterial small subunit ribosomal RNA
Source: RNAcentral